RNAcentral lists this non-coding RNA (20 nucleotides) under Arabidopsis thaliana (thale cress). Lineage: Eukaryota; Viridiplantae; Streptophyta; Magnoliopsida; Brassicales; Brassicaceae. The record is from RNAcentral.
CUAAUAGUUUCUGGAAUCUC